Molecule: ribosomal RNA, 279 nt
Filed under: uncultured bacterium
Lineage: Bacteria
Description: partial 16S ribosomal RNA
Rfam family: Bacterial small subunit ribosomal RNA
Source: RNAcentral
UGCCAGCAGCCGCGGUAAUACGCAGGGUGCUAGCGGUGUUCGGAAUUACUGGGCGUAAAGAGCAUGUAGGCGGAUGAAUUAGUCAGAGGUGAAAGCCCCGAGCUCAACUCGGGAACUGCCUUUGAUACUGUUCAUCUUGAGUCCGAGAGAGGGUAGUGGAAUUCCCAGUGUAGAGGUGAAAUUCGUAGAUAUUGGGAAGAACACCAGUGGCGAAGGCGGCUACCUGGCUCGGUACUGACGCUGAGAUUCGAAAGCACCGACAGCUAACAGGAUCAGAUA